GAUGAACGCUGGCGGCGUGCUUAACACAUGCAAGUCGAACGAAGUAGUUUUUAGAGCUUGCUCUAAAAACUGACUGAGUGGCGGACGGGUGAGUAACGCGUGGGUAACCUGCCUUACACAGGGGGAUAACAGUUGGAAACGACUGCUAAUACCGCAUAACAUAGAGGGGUCGCAUGAUUUUUCUAUCAAAGUUUUUCGGUGUAAGAUGGGCCUGCGUCUGAUUAGCUAGUUGGUGGGGUAACGGCCUACCAAGGCGACGAUCAGUAGCCGGCUUGAGAGAGUGAACGGCCACAUUGGGGACUGAGACACGGCCCAAACUCCUACGGGUGGCAG
This 333-nucleotide ribosomal RNA is filed under the name uncultured Bacillota bacterium. Its description in RNAcentral is "bacterial SSU rRNA". It matches the Rfam family "Bacterial small subunit ribosomal RNA", at positions 28 to 351 of the family's 1533-position model. Lineage: Bacteria; Bacillati; Bacillota. The record is from RNAcentral.